UUAAAUUGUCUGAAUAAGGAGUUAAAGGAACAUGUCUCCAACUAACUCCAUAAAACUGAACUGAAGAAUAAAUAAAUAAAUUAAAUCAUAUUGUCCUAGAAUCCAUGAGGACUCAGUGUGUCUCUGCGACUGGAAUGCUACUGCUACUGCUGGGCUGGAGCUCGUGUCUCGGAACCUAUGGUGUAACAUGAAAAGAAAGCACCAUAGCGCAAAUGCGUCAGUACAAUUGGAGUACUGAGUAUACGAAGAAGGUAGGCUGAACAUAAAGGGUUUCAUCCAUGAACAACACUGACUGACAAUAUGAACUGGGAGUGCAAACACACAUAUAUAGAAAUUAGACCGUGAAUACGUGAUAGCAUGACCUGUAAGCUAAUACAUGGUUUACUGAUAACUAUCAUGAGUGAUACUAAAACUGAUAACAUGGACGAUUGUAUCUGACAGUCCUGUAUAUACUGAAAUAUGAAGAACGCCCUGAGUUCUUUCACUGAGACUGAUAUUGAAACAGAUAACAUGAACAAAUGUACUUGACAGUCCUGUAUAUACUGAAAUUUGAAGAACGCCCUAAGUUAUUUUACUAAGAUUGAUACUGAAACUGUGGGAAGUAGUGUUUAACCAACAUGCCCCAUGUAUGCCAUUAUGGCUAAGCUAGGGUCGAAUCUCUACUCCAACUGGAGGGGUGUCAAUACCGUGCCACGGGUAAGGACAGUCUGUGAGUGACCCUUAUCUGGAGGUACUCAAUGAGAACGAUGGGAACCCUAAACUGACAGGUUAAGCCACCUCAUCAACCCUAAUCUGGCAGGUUAAGAUGUCUCAACCUACGCUAGCUACGUAGUUCUGAAACACAAGGAUUGCUACUAAGAAUCACACCCUGAACUGGCAGGUGAGUUCCUAUCCUUGGGUUCACUCGGUGCUAACCUAUACUCCCAUCUAGAGGGACUGGACAUGAAUAACUGACUGUGCAUGACUUAAUAUUACUGAAUUUCGUUGACUGGCAGAAUGUUACUGAUAUUUGACAACUGACUAAGAUCAUGAGGGUUUCCUGAGUCACAUGACUGACUGAAGUCUAUGGAAUCAUAGCUUGAGUUUGGAUAUCAUGAAACAUGACAUAGAUCUAGGCACACAGCUAUAGUUUUCAGGUACUAGUACCUCCAGGACUCGAUAGAAGGAAACUGACACACAUGACUGACUUGACAUAAGAGUAGAGUCCAUAAUUUAUAAUACCAUAAGUAGGGAUCUCAUACUAUGCAUGGUUAUCAAUAAUGUAUUGCAUGAAAAGGAUUUCAUAUCACAUGGAAGCACUUGCACAAUCUUAAUAUCAUGUUCAUUGCAUAAUCAUAUUGGCAACACAUACCAAUAGCAUGGAAGUUCAUGUGGAUUGCAUAGUUAUCAUACAUCUUGUUCAUAAGUAGGAUUUGCAAGUAAACAUAGCAUAAUUUCAUAAGAAUAGUUCAUGAGUAUUCCAANNNNNNNNNNNNNNNNNNNNNNNNNNNNNNNNNNNNNNNNNNNNNNNNNNNNNNNNNNNNNNNNNNNNNNNNNNNNNNNNNNNNNNNNNNNNNNNNNNNNNNNNNNNNNNNNNNNNNNNNNNNNNNNNNNNNNNNNNNNNNNNNNNNNNNNNNNNNNNNNNNNNNNNNNNNNNNNNNNNNNNNNNNNNNNNNNNNNNNNNNNNNNNNNNNNNNNNNNNNNNNNNNNNNNNNNNNNNNNNNNNNNNNNNNNNNNNNNNNNNNNNNNNNNNNNNNNNNNNNNNNNNNNNNNNNNNNNNNNNNNNNNNNNNNNNNNNNNNNNNNNNNNNNNNNNNNNNNNNNNNNNNNNNNNAAAAAGAGGAAAAACAAUCAAGCAUCAACAUGGGUAUGAUCAUAUCACCACAAUCAACCAAGCUUUUGUAUUUUAAAGAUUGAUUCUUGAACUCCACGGAUGAAAGAAAUCUGUGGAUGAACACUACGCAUACCUUAGAAGGAAGAUUCUUGAUGAUAUACGGAGGAAUUUCCUUGAAAUCGGAUCUUCAAGCUUAAUUAUGCAACCCUAGUUAUUUUUCUCCUUUAGUUCUCUUGGAUGAUGAGCUUUGAGAUGAAAAUAGGGUUGCAGUAUGUUUAGAAGUUAUAUAUUUUGUAGGGUUAAGUUUAGGGACGUGUAAGGAGUAUUUAAAGACUUAAUUACCUUUAAAAUAACUCAAAGCGGAGUGUUUUUGACACCUGGAAUUGACUUAGGCAGCGCCUAAGUGAUCGCCUAGGAUUGGGUUGGGCGGCGCCUAACCAAUCGCCCAAUCGCCUAUGCUUACUGUAUCUCACAAAAAUAGGCAUAACUUUUCGCUCGGGUAUUGGAUUAAGGUGAAAUUGGUAUUGUUGGAAAGCUAAUUUGAUUCUCUACAAUUUGGUGGGUCUAAAUCAGACAAAAUACCACAUUAACAUCGAGUUAUACUCGUUCUAAGAUGACCCUUUCAAAAUCGAACACUAAAACUUGAUGGAUUCAAAAACUCUUAGCUUGUAUUACUUUAAGUGACUCAUAUGAACUUGCUUAAUGCAUCAUAAGCUAUCCCAUCACUAGGAUAUUCAUUGUAAGUCAUGUACUCAAGUAUGAAUCACAUAAUAGGAGAUUUCAUAUGUAGGAAUACUUAUUCACUUCCUAGCUUAGAAACAUGCGAAGUAUUACAGUUACACUUUUUCAAAAAGAAAAAUCAAAAUCGAAUUACACAAAAUCAAAUUAGAAAACCAAAUGCACAACCUAAUUACUCUCUCUUCACUCUUACUUGUACACUAUUAUAAAAAUAGAUUUUUGCUUCUACUUUUCACUUUUAACUAUGAAGGAAAAGAUAAUUAUUUUAUGAAUAUUAAGCUAUCUAAAUCCAAAUCUAAAUACUCAAAUUACAAACACUAAAAAUAGGAGAAAAUAUCGGAUAUUUAGCAUUACAAAUAUCAGGAUUCUUCUCAAUAUCAAGACGAUUCUUCUCCGUCUUUACAAAUAUCCAAUAUUUGAUAUUUGUAUUUGAUAACAAAUAUCGAUAUUACUAGUUUAUGAGAUUCUUCUUGUUAUUAUAAAUACGAUUCAAGAUUGUAUUUGGCAUUAUAAGAAUAUCUAGCUUAAAAUCUAAUCAUAAAUUAUAACUUCAUUUUAAAAAUUUUAAGAAAAUUAAGACAAAAUUAAAGCUUUAAAGUUGAUUUCGUUGAAAAUUAGAACAUAAAUGAAAACAUCUUACCGAAUGUUUUAAAGAGAAGAGAAAAAGGAAUUUUAAAUAAUUGACAAAUUUAACUACACGUGUUUUUUUAAUUGAUGAUUACAAUAAAGUUUAUAUAGUCAAAUGUCUCAAAUGUGUGACAUCCAUGUUAUCAACUUCCGUGGCUUUUAUGAUUUGUAUGUAUGAAAAAUGGGGAAAAGUCAUCAUUUUCACUUUAAACUAUACUCAAAAAGUCGAAGACAUACCUAAACAACAGAUGAAAUAUAAUACACAAACACGGACAGUCAUAAUCUAUUAACUAGGCAGAGCAAAAAAGUGUCAGAUAGUGUGAUAAAGAUUAUCUUAAAACCCAUUAACAUAAGGGACAAGAACCCCUUUCUAAAUACAAGUUCAUAAUUCACCGUUUUGCCAAUAAGUAUGUUAGGGUAUUAUGCAUAUUAUGAAAUAACUUGUCAUAGGAUUUUUCAACAUUUUUGACAAAGGCGAAGUAGGAGGUUCGAACAGAGACAGCCAGAUCAUCAUUCGAGGAAGAGACUUGGGAUUUAAAAGAGUCCAUGUGAGAGAGCACUUGAGAGAACAACUUAACUCCUAAUUUGAGCCCAUCGAGUGCCGACUGGACCACACUUAUGUCAGAGCUUGUACUUUUCCCAGGGUUAGGAGUUUAGUAAUCGACUCCUAAAUUUGCAUGAAACCUUCCUCAAUGGCUUUAAACUAUUCCUUGAGUUCUUAGAGUUCCUUCAACAAAAAGGUAGAGGGGUUAGAAACAGAUUUACUUACCUUCGGAGGUUCAGCCUUCGGACAGAAAGAUUCCUUCUUACACCAUUCAUCUUCCACUAGGACAUAUCCCAUGCUACUAAAUGUUCUUAAAUCAUAAGUUGCAGCAACUUCUAUAGAAGGAUAAGCAGAGAGAUCGAUGGAGAAGAAUAGGAUUCGAGUGAUGAGCAUCCCUUAUGGCAAACUGGCAGAGGCAUGGACUAACCUUGCACUCUCAAGAAUGUGCUCUUGUAUCCAAGUUGCCCAAUUGAUUUUGAUCUUUUUGACUAGACAGUACAACAUAAAGACGUCACGAUAAGUGUGUUGCUUAGGGAUCCUUUUCACAAAAUUAGAGUGGUGGCAAUAAUAUGGGCCAUUAUGCAAAAUUUAAAACAUAAAGACAAGGGAUCAAAGUUGGUUGACAUGGAUUUAGGGUCAUACAAAAAUUUCAUAGCUUCCUCAAAAUCCACUUUAAAGUCCUCAGGCCAGUUAUUGUUCAUAAAAGGGACCACACCGAAAAACUUAGUAUCAAAAAUAUUUCAAACAGGAAGUUGUUCAUGAUAAUUCUUAUGCCUAGCACAAGAGUCUUGAAUUCACCACUGUCUGGGGAAAUUCAAAGAUUAGCAUAAAAUAUACUGACAGGAUCUUCAUAAACUUGAAGUUCACAGAGGCGAAAAAGCAAGGAUAGAUCUUGAAAUUUUAAAAAGUGACUAACAUUGCAAGAGGUAUCUUUUAAUAGAAUGAUAUUGACGAUAUGACUGGGUACGAUGGAACAAUUUAUGAAGGAGUGGAAUUUUUCUUUGUGAGAGUUUGUCAGAAUUGGUGCAUCUCUUCUUGGGGGAGGGAGUUAGAAGAAUUUGGAUGACAUUUUUUAUGGAGGAGAUAUGGCUGGAAGAAGGUCAUCAUCUCUUGAGAAGAGUGGAUUGAGACAAGGAUUCGUCGAAUGACUUAGAGAGAAAAUAAGAUCAUCGUAAGAGAUUUUAGAUAUGUUAUCCAUGGAUCGAGUCUUUGUCAUAAGAAUGAGAGAAAAUGAGAUUUAAAGGAUGAGACGGAGAAAAGAAAAGCUGAUUAAGAGAACUUAGAAGCAAAAGGGUAAUAUGAGACUCUUCGGAAGGGAUAGAGAGAAGGAAGGUGAAGGGGCAUAAAGUGGAAGAAGACUGAUGAAGGUAAAAAUGCAUGGGGAAGAGAAAAGGAUGGCAGAGGAGGCAUGGAAAACGGUAAAGUUAAUAAUGACUUCCCUUUUGAAAAGACUCCUUUUUGGUAAAAUAGGUACAUGUGGACUAAUUAAAAAGAUUUGUGUCCAAAAAUAUACUCAUAAAUAAUUAAUGCCAAAUUUUUUUCUGGGAAAACUAGAUCUUUCUUUUAGCAACGAUUUAAAAAAAAAAGAUUUUUGGAGUCAAAAAAUUUCACUUUCUCCGUGAUUAUGAAUAAAAUAAUGUUUAAUGCAGAUAUGUUUUGCCCUAGAUGCACAGAACAUUAGAUAAAAUAACAGUACCAGUAUUGUCACACAUUCUGGGAAUAGACUCAAAAGAAAAAAUAAAAUUAAGUAGUUGACGCAUAAUUCAUAGAAUUUAAGUACAGCAAUUCCCAAAGGCUGUGUAUACUACUCCAGUUGUUGGCGAACAAACUAAAGUUUGCUCCUUGCUGAGUUAUGAACUUGAGGCAUCACUCGUGUGAUAAAAACUUUUAUUAGAAUAGCAAAAUUCUCACAUGAAGAUGUUAGAAUAAUCAGGAAUCAUAUUAAAACAUGUACAGUAAGAAGUCUAAAAAAAAUUAUUUUUGAGGACUUAGAAUUGUAUCAAAAUUACCCACUUUGUUGAAAAAAAAUAGGAAAGUACUAAACUUCUCAUGCCAAGCCUUUCGAGCUCGCUUGAGACUAUGGAGUGCUUUAACAGUUUUAAAAAUAUUUAAGGGCAACAACUGAUAAUGAUAAUUCAUAUUGAUUUUGACCUUAUCACAAGGAUAAAUAUUUUAUUGAAGUCGGUACCUUCUUGGAGGGAAUAGCCUUAAGCUAUAUAUAUGUCUUCAUUUCAAUCUCAUUAUUUCAGAUGUGGAAGUCGACUUAGAAGGGGGUAUAGUCGACUCGUCUUAUGAAGGCUCGGAGAUUAUGUGAGCAUCAUCUCUGGAUUGUAAAUCACUCACCUGUUAUUCAUCACCGCAUUGUUAUGGGUUAAACAUCUGUUGGUGGUAUGACAUGUUAUAUGUUAUCUUUUUUUAUUUUUGCCAUUCACCAAAGAGAUAGAUAUUAAUACUAUCAUGUUUGAUGAACCAUUUUUUUGUUUGAGGGAGAUUUCAAACCAGUCAUCACAUGGUGAGUCAACUCUGGUGACAUUGCCUCUAGUGUUAUCACUUUAUUUGAUUUAUCCUUUACCUACAUUCUUCAAAGAAGAGAAUAUUUCUUUCUUUUCGGUCAUGUAUUUUGAUCAUCUUCCAUUAGGAGCCCGUAUUUUCUUUUUAUGGUUUUCGCAGACAUGUUCUUGCAAAAUGAGAAGAUUAAUUCUGCUAAGGUACCCAAGUGGUCUUGGCUCCUUGUGGAUUAGAUGUGCUUCCUUUGGGCUUCUAAACCCAAACACAUUUAGGCUUAUGCCUAUAAUUGUAGGAUUUGUUCUCUCUCUAUCCAUAGAUAAAACAGAUGUGUCCUCAAGAGGAGAAAGAGGUCUUAGCUGAUUUAAACAAUCUUGAUGAGAAACUGGAGUAGUUUUUGAAGGAAUUUGAUCUCAUGAAACUGUUGUUUGGGGAUGUCUUAAAACUGUUUAGCUUUAUUUUUGCAUCAUCAAGCUUUUCAUGAAGUAGGUCAAUUUCAAUUUGACAUGCUUCAAUUUCUAUUUACUAAUUUCAUCGUACCUCUUUGAGUUUUUGUUUAAAUCGUGCUUUACAACUUUUUUCCUCUUGAGAUAGUUUAUUAUAUUUAUCUAUAACUUUUUGAAGCUCGUCGGUUAUCAUAUCCAAGUUGGAUUCAAGAAUAUUAUAGUUAUGACAGUUGUGUUGUCUUACCUUGCUAGAUUCACUUGUUUCCAUGAAGCAUAUAUCGGCAGAUUCUAUUUCAUCUUUGGUUUCAUCCUCAUCACUCCAAGCUCUAAAGUUUUGAUUCUUCCUGGAUGUUUUUCUUCUUAAUUUUGGACAGUUUUAUUUGAAGUGGCCAGACCUUCCACAGUGAUAGCAGCGAUCAUCGUUUCUAGUAGAGUCAUUAUUUUUAGCUCUUUGGGAUCUUUGUUAUCUUUAUAUCAUGAUCAGCCUUACUCCAUGAUUAAUAAGGGCCAUUCCUUCGCUAUUAGCAUAUUCAAAAAUAUUCACUUCUUUGGUUGGAGCAGCAAUAAAGGCUACUGAUUUCUUUUUUUCCUCCUUGUGGUACCUAUUAAUAUAUGUUUUUCAUAUGCAAUAAGGUUACCUCAUAGUUCAUUAUAUGUCAUGUUGUAAAGAUGUCCAUCUUCCAGAAUGGCAGCCUUGGUUUCCCAAAUCUUUGGAAGACUUCGGACCAGCUUCUGUACUUGCAGGCUAUGUGGAUAGAUCAUCCCAGUGAUUUCAGUUCAUAUACGAUCUUUCUAAAUCUGUCAAACAUUGUUUUAAUGUUUUCAUUUUCUUCAAUUUUGAACUGCUCGUAUUCAUUGACCAGGGCAAUAAUUUUUGAAUUCUUGACUUUUGUGGUUCCUUCAUAGCUUACCUCCAAUUUGCCCCAUAUUUGUAGUCUUCCAGGUUGAUAUGCUAUCGUAUUCUUCUCCACUAAUUGCACAAAGAAGCAAACUUGUAGCUCGUGCAUUAGUUUCAAUUACCUCUUGUUGUUCUUUGGUGACCUCAAAGCUUUUGGGAUCUUCUAUGUCAGAACUGCUAGAUUUUUUAUCUUUGUCCUUGGACUUCUCUUUAAGUCCUAGAAUAGACUUUGGACCCCUUCUUGAUAACAACCCAUGCUUGGAAAUCAUUUGAUUAGACAAAGAUUUUGAACCUAUUUUUCCAAUAUGAGUAAUGUUGUCCAUUAAAGUAUGGUGGUCUUGUGAAGAAAUGACCAUCUUGAAGAAGAGCACCUGGGAUUUGAUAACUUGUCAUUUGAUCUUUGCUCACUUAUGGUUAAACAAUGUUAUUGAUGAGACCUUCUCUGAUACCAACUGAAAUUCAAGAGGGAGUGAAUUAAAAUUUUUCUAUGAGUCGACUACUGACUUCUCACAGUCGACUCACCUACAGAUUAGUACACUUCGCAAAAAUAGAUUAGAUUUAAAACAAUUAAGCAAAUUAAAAACAGAACUUAUAGUAAUAAGACAGAGAUUUAUCUUGGUUCGGAACACUAAUGUGCUGCCUACUUUCAGUCCCCUUGUGUUUCAAAGUUUUCUUAGAUCGUUCAAUAUCGGGCUCGAGUACAAUGAUAGGAAACAAGUUUUAAAGACUUAUUUUGCUCUUCAGAUCUUUUGACAUAGUCUUUAUAUAACAACUGUAAAAUAAAAGUUAUAAAGCCUUGUGAGACUAAGAUUGAGACACUUUGAAUUUUCUCCUUGAAGUUGUGUAACACGUGUCUGUCUUCAGUCGUCAUCUUGUAUAGUCUUCGAAUGUUAUUCUUCAUAAGAAAACCCAAGAGAUUUCUUCUCAAUCAAGGAUUUAAAUUGAUUCCUUGAUUUAGGAAUGUAGUCAUUUGAUAUGUCCAUAUAAAGCUUUGGAUCACGUCCAUAUCAGAUAUAUCUAUAAUCUAAUUUCUUUUUUGGCCUUGUAUAGAUUGAUGCUUUUCCAGAUGUGUUUGUGAUCUUUUCUUCCUUUUCUUUAGUAGUUAUUGAUCUAAUUUGUUGAGACUUUUGGGACAUAGAUUCUCCGUGAUUGAGUUGAUUUAUCUAGACUUUUGGGACUGAGAUUCUCCUUCUGUUUGUCCUCAUUCUGAUCUAUUUUCUUUGAUGUCGCUUAUUGUAAGUUGAUGUCCCUCCAUUCCUGGAGCCGACUUUCUUUAUUAGUAAUCUUUAAUGUCCUGCAUUGAUCCACUUGUUAGUUUGUCAUUAUUAAAAUAUAGACUUCAGAGGCUAACAAUAGGGUGAGCUCUUGGAGUCAGAGUUGCCCUUUCUCCUUUUAUUUAUCAAUGUCUAGUCUUUUCUUUCAAGACAGAUUAUAUUGACUAUUCUAGAACUUAUGGUGUAUUGUAAUAGCUCUUCUACUAACUAUACCAUGUCAUGGGAUGGUUUUCUAUGUUAUGGCUACCUUUCGGAAUAAUUUUAUUUCCUUAUUUAUUUAUGAUUUGUAUUGUCUAAUUGGCCCUUCUUAAGGUAUUUUCCACCAAGUAAGCACAUUGCAAUCAAUUCUGAGCUACACUUUGGCUUACUUACUGGGGGACUUUGUAGGUACCAUCAUGACUCAUAAAUCGAGUCAUGACAGGUUCUAUAUUUAAUCAAAUACUGCAUUAUACUUUGUUUAAAUAUGUUAUUUUGGAGAUGUCAUAAGGCUAAGAAAACAGAUGGAAAAUAGUGUAGCGUUCAAGAAAGGUUGAGUCACUGAUGUGUCAUGGACUUAUGGCACUUUCGAAGCUUAAAAUUAUAGAAAUUUGUAAGUGCAAAUAUAUUUAUGUAGAUGUGAUGUGGUUUUGUGAUAUUCAUACGUCAAAUAGGUCCAGAGAAGUAAAGUGCAUCUUUUUACACUUAAGGACAUUAGACGAGUCAUCCUAUGAUUAUAGGAUCUGACCACAAUCAAACCAUGGUUGUAAUGGGUUGAACCAUAGAGAUGGUAUUCAGGUGUUAUUCAAAUGAAAUCAUACCAUAAUCGUAUGUAGAUGCUAUGAUCAUAAGAGUGAUCAUAGGAAGAAGUUUCAGAAAACUUACUUUCAGAUGUUAAGUAUGAGGAGAAUCAAAUGAAAGGAUUCCACUAUCGUACCAUGAUACUAUGAGUUUGUACUGAAUAUCGUGGAAGAAGUGUUUUGAAAAGUGGGAAAUCAAAUAUGGAAGCCACAAGAUGGUUCCACAAUCAUACAAAAAAAAUUAGCUCAUACUAAGUAUCAUACCAAACAAAACCUGAAAGAGGAAAAAGUCAAGUGUCAAUGUAGAAGCACAAAGGAUGAUCAUGGUAUCUAAUCAAUAUCUACCUUCCUUCAUCUAAUGUGCCAACUCAGUAAAUCCAAUUGUGUUUAGGAUAGGUUUUAUGUUUGUCUAUAAGUACUCCUUUUCGGUCUUUUGUUUCAAUUUACAUUCUAUUGAUACUUUUGAGACAUACUGUUGUUCUUUGAAGUAUAAAUAUCAAUUUUGAGGGUUUUAAUUUAUAAGUAAGAUUUGUGUUUUUCAUCUUAUUCUUGUAAGUCCAUAAUUAUGUUUCUUCUCAGAAUUAUUGUUGUGUACUUGCAAUUAUGAGUAGCUAAACACCCCGACUAGGUUUGUGGGAACUAUGAUGAAUUAACAAAGUAGUGUUUGAUUUAUGAAAUUAUUCUAAAAGGGUGUUUGGGCAUGUAUUGUUAUUCUCUUUUGUUUGAUUGCUUUCUUAUAGUCGUAGACAUCAAACCACGCCUUAUCUUUACUCUAGAUGAAAGGAUGAGUAACGGAUGGUAAUAGCGAAUUAGUAAUGAAACUUGGAUAUAUCAACCUCUAUUAAUUAGACUUGAGUUGGUAAAUAGGAUAUACUAAUAUGGGAUCAAUGAUAGGGGUUAGUAAUACAAAACCUAUGAUAUUUUUUUUGAUUGGGGAUAGUCAUCUAAUAGGGGCAUGAAAUCAUUUAGAUAAACAUAGCCUAUCGAUUUGGAAUUUCGAGCACUAUGAGAGAUCACUAAGUAUGAAGAACAUAUAGAGUUACGAUGUUAUUAGGAAACAAAGUCCUAGUAUCUCUCUUAUAUUAAAACAAAUCCAAUGAAAUCAACAGUUGCUACUGUAGGAAUUUUGAUCUACAAAACCCUCUUUUUACUAGAGAUUAUUUAUUGAUCGCUUAGAUAAACACUUAAUAGAGAUUUCAACCUAUUCCUCAUGGAAUCGACCACAACUUAGUUGCAUUUAUAUUUUGCCAAUGAUCAUUUUAUACUUUGUUUAGAGGUAUAAUUUGGGUGACAUUAAAUUUUGGCACCUUUGUUGGGAAUACGAUAACGGAGUUGAUUGAUUAUGUUUUUUAGGUUGUUGGUUUCUGAAUAUUGACUUUAAUUUUUUUAUUUCUAGGGCGCAUACCAGUGCACUUCCAUUACUUGAGCCAAGGCAAUCCCUUGAUUCCACUUGAUAUAGAAAUUAAAAAAAAUAUGAGAGUUAAAAGAAGGAUGGUGAAUGAUGGAGUUCAUAAAACAGGAGUUUUAGAUGAGGAGGUCUUGAAUCUUCCAGGACAUCUUCAUAGGAUUUAAGAGAUUAUAGAGCAGACCACUACUCAAUUGAUAACUAAGGAUAAUGAUAGGCAAGAAGUUUUCAGGCAGGAUGCAAGGGAAAAAGGGGUAGACAUGUUAAAACAGACCAUCAACUUGCACUUAAGGAAUGAGAAAGGUAGAGAAAAAAUAGAGGGAAACAACAUCUAGAGCAUUAUAUUCCUCAACUUGAUGAUGUAGAAGACAAGAUAGACUUUCUAGAGCUGAUUGAAAUAAGUGUGAUUAUUCCAUCAGCAUUGCUAUCAUGAACUAUAUUUGAUAUCACCGGUGCUAUGAUAUAGUUGCUAAACUUAAAGAGGGUGUUCACAGGACUUUCUACCGCUAAUGCAAACCUUUAUGUGAUAAAUUUAUAGGGAUUCGCAAAUUCUAUAAUUUACUUGGGGUUAGACAAGAGGUGAUUAGACUUCAGUUGUUACCUUUUUCGAUGAAGGAAAAGCUAAAUUAUGGUUGACAAAGUUGCCACAUGGAUCGAUCACUACUUGGAAUAAGUUGAGGACUAAGUUCUUAGAGAUAUUUUUCCCACCUUCAAGAAUGUUGCAGUUGAAAGAUAAGAUUAUAACUUCAAGCAGUUACACUUGAAGGUUUUAUAUGAGACAUGCAGACGUUUAAAAAAAAGCUGCAGAAUGUCCCAAAUCAUAGAAUACCAAGCCACAUAUUUCUUGAGAUAUUCUAUAGAGGUAUAAAUACAUAUAAUAAGGAUAUACCAAACGCUAUUACAGAUGGGGCAUUCAUGGGUUACAUUGGAUUAGGCUUAUAAGAUUUUAGACUGGAUCACUAAAACCAAUAGAGGUUGGAAUACUCGUAAUGCAGACAUACCCGUAGUUACUAAUAUUAUAGGGGUAUCUACAAAAUAGAGAGAACUAGAUGACUCUAUCAUCAAAAGAUAGAUCAGUUGAGGAUAGAGCUUAACUUAUUUGCCAAGCAAUUUGCAGCAGUAGGAGCAGAAAGAGUGAUUGUGGUUGGUUCACAAUGUAAGGCAUCGAGGAAUGAUAACUCUAAUUCUGAGGAGGAGGCUAAGUAUUUAGAAAAUAAAAUGGCGGGUUUCUAAGCCAAGGUAUAGGUGUCUAAUUAAGAUAAUUAGAAAUCUGGAAAAAGAAAUCGAGGUCAAAACUACUAUAAUGUUAACAACUAAAUCAGGUCUCUGUGUAGAGAUAGAAGCCGAGAAAGAGAUGGUGAUUGGAGAAGAAAGGACGACUAUAAGGAUAUAAGUGUCCUCUGUGUUCCAUUGGGAAUUGAGACGAUGAUUCAAGCAAUUCGAGGAUGAAAGACAUACUUGCAAAAGUAGUGAAAAUGGUAAAGAAGAUGAAGACUUCUUGAAGGAGCUUAGUGCAGAUACUUUGGGGAUAAGUCAAAAGGUCGAAUCACAUGUUACUGUCCUUAAGCAUCUUAAGCAAUAAUUUGGUCAGAUGUCUAUUGCAUUAAAUCAGCAUUGAUAAUGUGAAGGUUUUAUAUGAGACAUGCAGACGUUUAAAAAAAAGCUGCAGAAUGUCCCAAAUCAUAGAAUACCAAGCCACAUAUUUCUUGAGAUAUUCUAUAGAGGUAUAAAUACAUAUAAUAAGGAUAUACCAAACGCUAUUACAGAUGGGGCAUUCAUGGGUUACAUUGGAUUAGGCUUAUAAGAUUUUAGACUGGAUCACUAAAACCAAUAGAGGUUGGAAUACUCGUAAUGCAGACAUACCCGUAGUUACUAAUAUUAUAGGGGUAUCUACAAAAUAGAGAGAACUAGAUGACUCUAUCAUCAAAAGAUAGAUCAGUUGAGGAUAGAGCUUAACUUAUUUGCCAAGCAAUUUGCAGCAGUAGGAGCAGAAAGAGUGAUUGUGGUUGGUUCACAAUGUAAGGCAUCGAGGAAUGAUAACUCUAAUUCUGAGGAGGAGGCUAAGUAUUUAGAAAAUAAAAUGGCGGGUUUCUAAGCCAAGGUAUAGGUGUCUAAUUAAGAUAAUUAGAAAUCUGGAAAAAGAAAUCGAGGUCAAAACUACUAUAAUGUUAACAACUAAAUCAGGUCUCUGUGUAGAGAUAGAAGCCGAGAAAGAGAUGGUGAUUGGAGAAGAAAGGACGACUAUAAGGAUAUAAGUGUCCUCUGUGUUCCAUUGGGAAUUGAGACGAUGAUUCAAGCAAUUCGAGGAUGAAAGACAUACUUGCAAAAGUAGUGAAAAUGGUAAAGAAGAUGAAGACUUCUUGAAGGAGCUUAGUGCAGAUACUUUGGGGAUAAGUCAAAAGGUCGAAUCACAUGUUACUGUCCUUAAGCAUCUUAAGCAAUAAUUUGGUCAGAUGUCUAUUGCAUUAAAUCAGCAUUGAUAAUGUACAUUUUUGAGAAAUACUAUCGAAAAUCCUAAAAAUGAGGGUCAUUACUUGGAUAUUGCAACUAGGAUUGGUAAAGUGAUAGUUGAUCCAUCUAUGAUUGUGGUUGUUCAGAAUGAGAUCGAGCCAGUGAUUGUAGAUGAUGAGAGACUAGCUGAAUCUUACAGUUUAGUUGUUGAUGAGGAUGCAUUUUAAAAGCCUUUAGUUCCUGAAAAGGAGUCUAAGGCAAAAAGAAAAAAGGAAAAGAGGUCAUAAAAGUAUUGACUCCCAUUCCACGCCUCCUCUUAUUUUUGUAGAAAGACUGAAGAAUAAGUUUUAAGAGGGAAAGUGUCACAAGUUAACUACCAUAUUAAAAUAAUUGUUGAUGAACAUCCCUCUAGUUGAGGCUCUUGAGCAAAUGUUUGGUUAUGCAAAGUUUAUAAAGGAUUUCAUGGCGAAGAAGAGGAAUGUAAGUUUUGAGCUCGUUCAAAAUAUGCAUUAUUGUAGUACAAUCAUUUCCCAGUCUCUAUGGUAUGAAUCCAUGAUCAUAGGGAUGAGUCGUAGGUUUUUUCUAUUUUAAAUUUCACCCAAUACGACCCAACCUAGCUAAAUUCCUAAGUUUUAUUCCUCCGACCCUAUUUUAUCUCUUCUUUUCAAACACACGCAGAUUACUAUACUAGCACGAUUCAUAGUUCAGAAUCAAAGCAACAACUCGAAUUCAUCCUAUUUUUAAUUGAAUUACAGCAAAAAAAAAAGAAAUUAAAGUGGUGCAUACUCUCUCAAACUUAAAAAUUCCAACUCUGAUGCGCUUUCCAAACACUUGUUAUUUCAGACUAAAGUAAGUCUUUCUAAAUUAUUGUGAUUUGAAUAAGCAAAUAGGAAUUAGGGUUACACACACUUGGUUAAAUUUGAAAUUAAGUAUGUAGAGGAGUUGAAGUGCACCAUAGUAAAAAUUGCUUAUUUUUGAACUAGUGUAAAAAGACAAAUGUCGAGAGGUAACAUUGAGUGCCCCUCAUUUUUUCAUUAAGUUCAAAUUGGGUCAAGAUAUUGUGUUUAAAUUGGUUAAGUGUUAGUGAAAACUUCAUGACACAACCUAAAAUUGUCAUUCUUAUGUGCGAUGGUAGGUUGGAUCGUUGUGGGUGUCAGUUUGCAAAGUUGAAGGAAUUCCUAAGAAAACCAUAUACCAUGAUCAUUGUAUCUUGGUACAAUCAUAAAAUAUUGAUAUGACAAACCUCAGCAUAUUUUAACAGGGGCCUCCUAUGAUUGAUAGGACGAUUGUGCUUUCAUAUCAAUGUCGUACCUUAUGUCAUCUGCUUGAAUUACUGAGUACUUGUUUCUGAUGUUUGCUAGGACUAAUCUUUUCACAUAGAGGUACUAUGGAACCAAAGUUGAAUAAAAAAGGUUCGGGGAGGUUAUCCACAAGGAUAUAGAUAAGAAAAGGGCACCAAAAGACAUGUCUUCGACCAUAGAGAGUAAUUUAGAGAAAUCUAGUGGUUCGGAGGUCAGGUACUCCAAAAAUAGUGUUAUUGAACAACAAGAGCCUCGAACCACUAGAUAUAAAUUUUCUAAGGCCAACGCCCAAACAUCUAAAGCAUUGGAGCCUGCAGCUACUCCCAUUGAACUUCCCAGUUUGAAGAGGAAGGCCAAACCUCAAAUCCUAGUAGGGUGAGCUUGUAGCUGUAGAAGGUGAUGUUAAUGUGAGUUUAUCUAAGGCGGAGAAGUCUAUGGAUAGUUCUAGUAGUGCCUUUUCCAAAUCUUCCAAAGGUGUUGCUACUACAAAUCUACCUAAAAAGGGGAAGACCCAAGGCGAUAGAGUGUCCUAAAUCCUGGAAGUAAUAUAUUUAUGGAGAAUCCCUAAACAACAAGGGGAACCAAAAGUGAAGCAUCCAAGAAGGGAUACGCAUGCUACUUGGGGCACUAUAGAGGGAUUUAGAGUUAAAUCGGGAGUUCUAAAAAUAUAUGCUCGGCUGGAUGACUAAGCAGGUGGGAAACUUUAGGGCCUAUUCGGUGAGAGAUUUUUAUGCCAACUAUAUAGUGAGGAUUGAGAGCAUGAAUUUUUAUGAGAAGGAUAAAGAUAUGAAGAAGUAUCCCAUACUUGAUAUGGCGUUAGUGCAAGGGAAUAGAUUGAUAUCUUGUGAAGGCUAAUUCUAAAGCCUUUUUUGGCAAUGAUUUUGAGGUACCAUUUGAGUCUCUGGAGUAUGAUUAUGACACGACCCAAACUAGGGCCUAGUCGUGUCGGGUGCCUCAAGCCCAACCAGGGUUGGAGAGCAUCCCCAAUACCCAACCACAAUCACCCUACACCCAAUGUUUGAUAAUUUUUGAAUGUACAUAUAUAACAUAAAAAAAAUGAAAUAGUCAUAAAUCAAAUACAUUUAAUCGGUCUCUACCCCAAUACCAAUACCAAUACCAAUGCCAAGGCUGACAUCAUUGCCGACAGCGCCCAUACCAACCCAAAGUAGUCCCACAAAGCCUAUAUCUGAAAGUAAAACAAUACUCAGUCGGGAUAUGCCCCCGACUAUAGCCAAAACCAAAGUCUAAGAAAUAACCAAAGUAUGUAGAGAAAUCCAUAACAUGAAAUGGAGCCUUCCGGAGUAUGGAAGCUCACCACUUCAUCCCGACACAAAUUGUCCCCAAAUCCAAUCACUGAGCAGGAGGAGUAGUAUGACCAGUUCCUGCAUCGUGUAGGAAUACAACGCCUGAAGAUUGGUUAGCAGGUGAACGCUAGCAUGUACUCAGGAUAAGGAUAAGAUAAUGUCAAUAUUUAAAACCAAGUAAAUAAUCAUAUACAAUCACAUAAAUGUAUAUAUAUAUAUAUAUAAAAAUCUAUGUCGGGAAAGGGAAUUAGGUUUAGCAUGUAUUUAAAACUUUAACCUAGGUUUGUGUAGCUUUACCAUUAUAAUCUAACCACAGGCUAUAUGGGUCCAGUGUUACCCCCUAACGGGCCCCAGUGUGUGCAGCCGCGUGAACCAGAGAUAUCAUAGGGGUUGGGGAUGCCCGUGUACCCUUCGCCCUCCAUGAUACAUAUAUACAAGUAUAAACUUAGGGGAUUCUCGUGUACCCUACAAAUACAAGGUUGCCAUGACCAACUCUCAUAUCGACAAAUAAUUGUUUCCAGUGUCCAUCCAUCAGACUCACACCUUCAUGGUAAGUCAUCAAACCCACUAUUAUUGCCCAAUUAAAACAAUUAGCACCCAAUAAAACCACUAAUUCCAUCUAUUAUUAACCAAGGCUAUAAGAAGUGGUAUCGUCAUACCGACUAUAACUUACAAGUAAUGUCCUUAGCCAAUCACAUAGAGGAUUUUUAUGUACCCUGUAAGUUUGAUAGACCCAAAUUAUACCUCUCUUAUGAGAGAUAAAAUGCUCAUUGUCAAAUAUAUAAUCCAACUAGGUUGGAGUCGAAUCCCACAGAAAAUAUCAUGUUCACUAAGUAUUGUGGUUGUUACUAGACUGUUGAUCAAAGGUUUCGAAUUAAAGAGGAGUUUUGGUUUAUAAGUUUUAUCUUGUUAUUUGUAACAGAAAAUGUUCCAGUCAGUUAUUCUUAUUGCAAAUAAUAAUUCAAUAAGAGUAGACAACUAGAGUUACGAUUACCAAGAUGUUCAAGCAUCUAAGGUUGUGAAUUAUUAUGAAUUUCCACUUAAUCACUUCAAUUGCAAAAGUUAUUGAAUCCUAUAAUUUACCCAUUUGUCUCUCAACCUAAAUAAAUAGAUUAUCCUUGUCGCACCCCAUUUUUCUUGCGGAAAGAGGGAUUUGACGUGACCACUCUUUUUGGGAUUGUUUUGAGAGAACAAUGUGAAGAGUCGCCACCUAACGAAUUAAGGUGCAUUAGGACAUCGAUCUAGGCCAACUACGAACCUAUUUUUGUUGUUUUGUUUUAGUUCACCAGAAAUUCAGGUAAGGGUUCAAAUUACAUCAAAAAGAAGGUGUUAGGCACCUUUCGAGGUCCACGAAGAUGGUUCCUGGCCGAAUUUGUAUUUUACAUGGGGAUUCUACAUGUUCAAAUAAGAUCGCUUAUUUCAUUAUUAGUUGAUGCUAACUAAGUGAUAAAAUAGUAAAUAAGUAAAACAUGUUAUUUAAUUAUUUCUAAUUAAUAAAUAUCUAUGUGAUUAAAAUCAAUUAAACAUAGGAGAGAAACAAGCAAGAAGAAAGAAAUGACAUGAGAAUAUUAAAUUAAGAAACAUAAACUAUCCUAAAAAAUAUAGUAUUAAUUAAAUUAAUAAAGUAAACUAUUUUCAGUUUGAAUAAAGCUAUUUGAAGAAAAUGUUUGUCGCUUUUAUAUGAAAGAUGUCAUGAUAUUAUUAAUCGCACCCUUUUACCUUGACAACAAUUAUGAUUGGAGGUCGGUCUUAAGUAAAAAUAACAAUAAUACAAUUUUUAAAAGACAAGUGAAAAUUUGAGUACCAAAAUAUAACACAUAAAAAUAUUUAUAUAUGUACAGAUUUACAUAAUCUUCAAAAAAAACUUUGGCAAGUGAUAUUCCUAAGGACGCAUCGGCUUGAUUUUAAAACAUGAGAAUUAGACCUCAUAAUUCUUUUUACUUACCCGCUAACUAUAAGUUAGGAGAUAGUAUUUAUGUAAUUAAUAAUUUUAAAAAGACAUUGUCCAAUUCAAGUUGCAAAAAGAAAGAAAAAAAGAAGUCAACAAUUAAUGUUGUGUUUUAAAAAUGUUUGCACAAACAAAGUAGGAAAAUUUGUUAAUAUGCUGAAAAUGUUAUUUGAAGACUAAAAAUUAACAUAUAAUUGUUGAGAAUGUGAUUUAAAAUGCUAAAAUGUCAUUUGUGAUAUGUCAAAGCUAUGCCAAAAGUAAAUAAAUAUGUUGUAAGCUAAGUUGACAUAUUCAAACGUGAUUUAACAAGGCAAAAUUAAUUAAACUUCUAAAAGUAUGAUUUCUAGGAUAUUAAAAUAAAUCCUAAAUUAGGUUUGCCCAAGUGAUUUGCAUAAUACGUAAAUCACAUAAACCCCGUCCCCCCAAACAGUCCCAUAAAUAUUAUUACAACAUAUCGUUUGUAAAAUAAUCCUCAUGGACCAAUAAUAAAUGAAAUAAAAGAAAAACUAUGAAGAUCUAGAUUGGAUAGCUCUUAACGACUACAUGUCAACUCUGUCUCAUCUAAAUACUCAUUCUUAACCAGUGAUCACAAAGAAAGCACCAAAACACAUUCCGAAUCUAGAAUACCUUUGGCAACACAUAACUAACCUUUGACAUUGUCAAGAUCCUAAGGAUAUCAGGGAUCCCAGGAAGGCUCACGCCAAAGAGGCUCUGUGACAUGCAAAAAAUAUUUUAGAGUCAUGUACAACAAGCAUGCUAAUGGAGAAGAACAGUUAGAAAAAGAAAAUAUGUCUCAACUAAUAUGAAUACCCAAUAAGAGUCACAGAAAUGCAAAAAAAAAAACAAAUAGGAGGUUCAUGUCGUCAAGCAUUUAAAGUAUGCAAAUCCAAGUAAAAAUCAUAACCACAUAGUGUAAAAGAAACUAAUGCAUCAUUGAAGAAAAUUAACCUAUUUACAGCAUAAUAACAAAAGAAGAUUGAAAUUUCAAGAGUAGAUAAGAAGUCGUACGAGCAAACAAGAAUUAGCGAUCUCAAAGUAGAAGCAGCAAACAAAAUAUAGCACUAAGUGUAGUGUAGAAUAUUGUAGAAGUGAGAGUAGGAGUGUAUGAGAAGAGGUCUGACAAUUGAAAGAGAGGAUGUUUAUAUAGCAAAAGAGUAGAGAAAAUAAAAGGAAAGAGAAUAUUUGCAAAUUCAAUCAAAUCAACUAAAAAAAAUAAACUGCUCAUAUUUACCUUAAUAAACAAGUCAAAAUAUUAUUCGAUCUUCAAGAGGCCAUAAAAAUAGGGAUACCAAUGGAUACUUCCCAUGUUAAGAAACAUAAUCACAUCAAAUUAGCACAGAAUAGAUCCAAUUAUAAUAGGGGGUAAACAUCUAUUUGCAUAAAAAAAUCCACAUGCUUAAAAAGCAAAAAUCAUAAUACACCCAAAGAACUACUAUACUACUAUAAUUACGCUAGUAAUCCAAUCAACCGGCUCAAAUUUUCGGAGUCAAAAUUAUGAUAGUAGACAAUGAAAUUGCAUUCCUAAGAUGAAAUCUAGGAUUAACGAAAAAUUCAAAAUUAGUCAUUUUACAUAAAAUAAACUUGAAACCAGAAAAACAGAACAACAAUAUAACCACAAAUUUUAAGUUUAAAGAAAAGAGGAGCAGAAUAGAAUUAUAAUUGCAUGUAAAAAUUAAAUAUGAAAUUCAACCUAGGAUGGGUUCAUAAGAACCCAUCAUUUUUUCGGCGAGAUGUGGUGGCAGUGUCAUGGGAUGCACGGAGACACAACAACGGCGGCUGCAAUGAGAAGGCGGGCUGGUUCAUGGGUAGCCGCUGGUCUGCAUGGCUGUUUUAAGGUCGCCACGGCAGUAAAUGGAGCAUCGGAGCUCCAAUUUGGUGGCUUUUGAUGCGGGUAGUGGCGAUGGUGAGGUCCGACUAUCAUUAACAGUGCUUCAUCAGUCAUCACCUCCGGUGAAGCAGCAAUGAUGGGAGGCAGCGCUGAUCGAAGGUGCGGUGGGAUGGAUGGCUCGCUGGUGAGCUGCCGUUGUUUUAUCCGGCAGUGGAGAUGCGUCGGAUCUGGGCCACUGUGGCACUGGGCCUUCACCGGUGUCGACUGGUGUUGUUGUCCGUUCAACGGCACUUAGCCGUCGGAGAGAAAAAUGGAGCAGAGGGGGUUUGGGCUGUAGGCAGUCGCCGGUGGCUGAUGGAUGGCGGCGGCUGGGGAGUUCUAUAGAGAAGGAGGAGAGAUAGAGAGAGAAAGUGGGGAUGGUGUGCAGUUGAUUUGGUGGAAUGAGUCUAAGGUUAGGGUUUUGAUUUUUUAAGAGAAAAGAAAGAGAUCCUUUGAUCUCAGUCGUUGGAUCAGUUUUGAUCGACGGCUGAUAUUUAAUGGUUGAGGAAUUGGUCAAAAAUUUAAAACAAUUUAAAAUUAAGCCCUAAUUGGCUAUAAUUGUAAUAAAAUGGCUGAAAUUGUAAUGUCUUGGGUAAAAAAUGGACUAAAAGAUAAAUAAAUUAGGUAAAUUGAUUUAAAUUUAGGCUGUUAUUUAAAUAAUAGUAGGGAUAAUAAUAGUAAAUAAUAUAUAAUAACAAUAAUAAAUAAUACUAAUAUUAAUAAUAAUAAAUGUUAUAAAAAAUGAUGUAUUUGAAAAUUGAGAGUAUGCCUAUUUAUGAAAAUAAUUAUCAAAAAUUAUGUCGAGAAAUAUUAUAUUUAAAUUAAUGAAUGAUAUUGUAAGGUGGUAAAAUAAUUUGUAUAUUUUAAAAUCGUGAAUUGACACGUCAAAAUCUGUUUGACGCAAGAAAAUUGUGUAAAAGUAUCAACAUUUAAAAUUGGUAAUUUUUGCUAAAAUAACAACCUAAAAUGAGUAUCAGGAGGUACAAAAAGCAUUGUCAAGCAACAAAAGUUGACGUGGUAGCCAAUUUUGUCCGACCGAGGAAGAUUCUUUGGAGUUAAAACAUUAGGAGGUGAUUUUAAAAAUAAUGUGGCCGAGACUUCGAUUUCAAGUCGCCUACAUAUCUCUGGUUUAAUGAGAAUCAGGCCAUUUGCAGUUCUAGAUUUAGGAAUGAACAAUAUUCCUAAGGAAUGACAGUGAUAAAGGAUGGGCAUUCAACAAAGGUGUUGUAGGUCGGUCAAUGAGAUGGAAUUGAAUGUGAUUUGGAAUAGUGACAUAUGGAGAAGUUUGAAAAUAUUGAGGUAGGUGAGGUGAUGGAUAAAUUGAUUGGGUAAUAUUUCAUAAACAGUAACUAAAAUUGUCUUUGUUUGUUAUUCCUUCUUUGUUACCUUCAUAUUUAUAGCGUACUAAAUAACAAAGGUUAGACAUGUAAGAAAUAAACAUUUGAUAAAUAUAAAGUGAAGGUGGAGACAAGAAAGAUAUCUGUUGUAUCGUGGGAUCAGCGGUUUGGCUUCUCGAUUUACUAUGGAAUCGUGGGAUCAGCUGUUUUUCUUCUCAUCGUGGAGUAAUCUGUACCUGUUAGUCCUAUCACACUUAGCUCAAUUGGAUAAAAUGGUUAGCACAGAUAUAUAUGUAUGUAUAGAAGAUUUGAUCAAUGUAGUGAAAACAGCCAUAACAAUAAUGAUAAGAAGAGAUAAGAAAGCGUACUGUCAUGAGAGAGUAAUGCUUUGUUCAUAUAAAAAUUUGAAGAGGUCGUGCUUAAUCCAAACCAUAUCCAGUAAAGCAAUUGCAUUUAAUAACACAGAGGCCGUUAUGCUUAGCAUGUUCAGUAGUAGAAAACAAUAUUCAUUUUUGAGUAACCCAAUUGACUUUCAGAGGAUAAUGCUUAGCCUCAGGAAGUUUCUCAAAUUUCCAAAACAAUUCUUAGCUUCGGACAAUUUCUCGAGGGAGAGUAAUACUUAACCCAACUAACUUUCAAGGACAAUGCAUAGCCUCAGUCAGUUUCUCGAAAGAGGGUAGUGCUUAACCCACUUAACUUUCCAAGGACAAUGCUUAGACUUAGAGAGUUUUUGAUAGAGUAGUUCUUAACUCCAUUGAAUUUUUGAAACAAUGCUUAGUUCGGAUGAUUUCGCAAGAGAGAGUGGUGCUUAACCCGACUAACUUUCAAGGAUAAUGCUUAGCCUUAGUCAGUUACUCGAAAAAGAGUAGUGCUUAACCCACUUAAAUUUCCAAGGACAGUACUUAGCCUUAGAAAGUUUUUGAUAGAUUAGUGCUUAACUCCAUCGAGUUUCCUAACCAUCUCUUAGUUAGGAUGAUUUCUCAAGAGAGGAUAGUCUUAACCCAACUAAAUUUCAAGGACAAUGCUUAGCCUCAGUCAGUUUCUCAAAAGAGGGUAGUUCUUAACCCACUUAACUUUCCAAGGAAAAUGCUUAAACUUCGAGAGUUUUUGAUAGAGUCGUUCUUAACUCCAUCAAAUUUCUAAAACAAUACUUAGCUUCGGAUGAUUUCUCGAGAGAGGAUAGUGCUUAAUCCAACUAACUUUCAAGGACAAUGCUUAGCCUCAGUCAGUUUCUCGAAAGAGGGUAGUGCUUAACCCACUUAACUUUCCAUGGACAAUGCUUAGCCUUAGAGAGUUUAUGAUAGAGUCGUGCUAAACUUCAUCAAAUUUUCAAAACAAUGCUUAGCUUUGGACAAUUUCUCGAGAGAGGGUAGUGCUUAACCCAACUAAAUUUCAAGGACAAUGCUUAGCCUCAGUCAGUUUCUUCAAAGAGGGUAGUGCUUAACCCACUUAACCUUCCAAGGACAAUGCUUAGCCUUAGGGAGUUCUUGAUAGAAUCGUUCUUAACUCUAUCGAAUUUCUAAAAUAAUUCUUAAUUUGGAUAAACUUAUUGAGAGAGGGUAGUGCUUAACCUAAUUAACUUUUCAAGGACAACGCUUAGCCUCAAGAAGUUUCUCUCAAGAGGGUAGUGCUUAACCCACUCAGAACAUAGGAUGAUAAUAAUUAGCCUUAUAUCUUGUGACGGUGCAUGGAAUGCUUGAGAUUUGUACCCAUCACUCUAUUCCUGCACUCAAAGAAAAAUUUUUAGUUUUAAAAAGGAAAAAGAUUGAUUCGUGUCUCUGUUAAUUCCUUUGCCCAGGUCCUGAAUCCAUUGUCUUUAUGUCGCUUUCUUGAGAUGCAAUACUUGAUAAAAUUUUGAGGAUCCUAAAAAAUUUCUGCCCCAGCUUUAUGGACUCAAUCUUGCUAGCCUUGAAUUUGUUAAAAUGUUUCUUGAUAAAAUUUUUGAGACCCUCUCAAAAACUCUGCCCCAAUUACAUGUUUCGUCUGUCUUAAACUUGUAGAAUCAUAGAAUUUUUGAAAUCCUUUCUGCCCCAGUUACAUGUCUCCUUCUUAACCAACUCUUGCAUAGGUGGGUGAAGACGGCAUUGAUGCUCAAUGGUAGGAGUGCAAUCUUCCUCAAGCUGAAUUUUAUGCAAGCAAAUACCCGGAGAAAUGCCAAUAAUAUCCGUAAUAGUCCAGCCUAUCACCCUUUUGUACCUCUAAAACAGUGAGAUGAGUGCCUCCACUUGUUGUUCCUCCAGAUCUUCUGCAAUAAUCACAGGUAAAGUGUUUCCAUUGCCUAUAAACACAUACCGUAAAUGGCCUGGCAAUUCCUUCAACUCCAACACUGGUGGCUCUUCAAUAGAUGGCUUUGCCGGUGGUGUUGGGCGAUUUUUAAGAUCUAGAUCCAGCUUCUUAGAAGCAUAAGAGUAUGAACCCAUCCUAGUCAAGGAACACACAGUCUCCCCAUACUCUUUAAUGUCUUUGCUAUCGAAAUUGAUCAAGACUAUAGCCAAAGGCUCAACAGCAAAUCUAUCCUCUAUUGUCACUUCUUAAUCAUCCUCAUAAUAAACAUCAACAACAGAUAACACACUCAUUUCCUUGUUCUGUUUCAUAGAUUGACACACAUCAAACCGAAUUACUUCAUUAUUAAGCCUGAAUAAGAGCUCAUUAGCUCACAAGUCAAUAAGUACGCUUCCAGUUGCAAGGAAAGGUUGACCCAAGAUUAUGGGAACCUCUAAGUCCACCUCACAAUCCAGAAUAACAAAAUUUGUAGGGAAUAUAAAGCUGGCUACCUUCACUAGCACAUCAUACAAAAUACCCACUGGCCACUUUAUCGACCUGUCCACCAUCACUAGUCGCAUGUUUGUGGGUAGAAGAUCCACCAAACCUAACUUCUUAUAAACAGCAAGCAGCAUCAGGUUAAUACUCGCUCCCAGAUCACACAAGGCCUUAGAAAAAUCAAGAGACCUGAUAGUACAAGGAAUAGUGAAUGCUCUUGGGUCCACUUUCUUUUGCGCCAAAGACCUUGUUGAAAUAGCGCCACAGUGGUAAAGGUUUUUCACUAGUUCGUAGAUCACUUCUCUCUUCUUCAUCACCAGGUCUUUCUUAAACUUAGCAUACCCAGGCAGUUGCUUUAAUGCCUCUACUAAAGGCACAUUCACUGUCAGUUGCUUCAGCAUCGCCAUGAAUUUGCUAAACCUUGUAUCAUCAGCUUUCUUCUGUAAUCUAUAAAGAAAGGGAGAUGGUGGUUUUGGGAAAGUGGUAACCACUGCUUUCUUCUCCUUUUUUUUUUCUUUCUCUAACUCAUCAACCUACUGGUGGUUAGAUGUGCUCAUAUUACCAUCCAUCUUUUCAGACUCCACUGGAUGGUUUCAUCAACUUCUACCUCUUCAUCGAUCAUAUCAUUGAUCACAGUCUUGCCUACAGAAGAGCCUGGUAAUAUUUCACCACUCUGAGUGGUAACUACCAUGCAAGAGCUAUCGUUUCGAGGGUUCUAUACUGUAUUGCAAGGAGGGUACCGCUUUUUCUCUGAUUAAAUGCUAUCGAGAUUUGGAUCAUCUGCUGCUCCAACUGCUUAAUAUAAGUUGAGUGCAAAUUUACUAGAUGGAUCAUGGAAAGUCACUCUUCAUCGUCGUCACCCCAGCAUUGGUAGCCUAAAAUCCCUUUAAUAGUUUCUCCAACAUUUCCUCCAUAGAUAUCUUGCAUGAACUGUUAGUUGCAUUGUCCUGGUUUCCAAGAGGUACAUAAAGUCCACUCUUGUCAUUUUGGUUCAUCAACUCCCUUGGUCCCUAUCUUUGUAACCAGCCUUGUCAUAAUAGUUCUGACCUUGAUUGCCUUGGAUAUUGCCUCAGAAACCCUCUGAUUAUUUAGAUAGUUUGCCUCCUCCACAAAAUCAAAAUUAGCUCUACCUUGGGACCAAACAACUUUUACCUUCUCAGUCUUCCCGGAUAAUAAGUAUUUAGUAAGCAGAUCCAUCUAUGUUUUCAUGUGUGCCAUAUCUUGGUCACGCUCCUUCUCUUUCCGACGUUGCUCUACCAACAUACCACAAGACAUAGUAGGGUUUGCUACCGUAGAGUCCCUGGUGUGCCAAGCUCUACUUGUCUUAGUCAACCGUUCCAACAUAUCUGCGGCCUCAUUGAAUGUAAGCUCCAUGAAUACUCCUCCUAUUGCAUUGUCAGCUGUUAGUUUGGUUAAAAAGUUUAGGGCUCUAUAGAAAGUCUCCAUUAAAUGCUCGUCAGCCAUCUUGUGGUUGCGGAACUACAUCAACUUUUUCUUGAAUCGCAUCCAAGUCUCAUGUAGUGCCUCAUUUGGUAAUUGUCUGAAGUUACUGAUUUCAUCCCUUAACUGUAACAUCCUGGAGGGAGGAAAGAACCUUUCUAGGAAAGCUCCUUUUAAUAGCCUCCAAUUUUUUAUAGAAUCAGGGGCCAACUCGUUCAACCCAUUAUUGCCUCCCCAGACAGAGACAGCGGGAACAACCGAAGAUGAAUUACAUUUUGAAAUACCGGUGUUAUCAAAGGAUUUGCAAAUAUUGAUAAAAUUCACAAAGUGCAAGUUUGGGUCAUCCCCUGGAAUUCCUAAAAACAACCCCUUAAGAUUAAGUAGUUGUAUCAUGGUGCUAGUUAUGUUGAAUUUAACUCUAAGUGUCAGUGGAGGUGGAAUAAUUGCUCCUAUAGCACCAUCUUUAUCAAGGUCUUCCUUCUUCUCAUCAAGAUCAAAUUGCACAGCAUGUUGGAGGUUUGCUCUUCCUCAAGCUGCCCAGUUUAUAUUGGCAACCACCUCUAUAUUCUCCACACGCCUCCUAUUUGUUGGGUUAAUCAGAUCAUCAUCUCCCAAAUCUUUAUUAUCAGGAUUAGGGUGACAAGCUGGUUAUCCGUCAAUUUGUCGAUUAACCUGUGCUCUAGCUAAGUUGGCUAGUCUCUCAGCUUUUUAUUGUUCUUUUAUUCUACCAAUUAGAUGCGGUUCAGGAUUGAAGAGUAAUAGCGGUUCUCCUGAACUUCUGGUACGUGGCAUAAAUAACAAUGAACCUACAAUGAACCAAAAAAUACAAAUAAAAGUAAAAUUUGUGAAACUUGACCAAUGGUCAAUUAACAAUCAUAAACUUGAUUGACAGCUGUAAUCCCUGGCAACAACGCCAAAAUUUGAUACACCCAAAUUACAGCUCUCUUACAAGAGAGUAAGCGAUCAUUGUCAAAAAUAUAACCCAACCAGGUUGGGGUCGAAUCCCACAAGGAAUACUGUGUUCACUAAGUAUAGUGGUUGUUACUAGACUGUUGACCAAAGGUUCCAAAUUAAAGGGGGUUUUGGUUUGUAAGUUUUAUCUCGUUAUUUGUAACAGAAAGUGUUCCUAUUAGUGAUUCUUAUUGCAAAUAUUAAUUCAAUGAGAGUAGACAACUAGAGUUACGGUUACCAAGAUGUGCAAGCAUCUAGGGUUGUGAAUUAUUAUGAAUUUCCACACAAUCACUUCAAUUGCAAGAGUUAUUAAAUACUAUAAUUUACCCAUUUUUCUCUUAACCUAAAUGAUUAGGUUAUCUUUCAAUUCUCUUGAUCUUAAAGAAUGCAUUAAUUUAUUCAAUUAUUCUCUCAUGUGGGUUGAUCCCGUUAAGGCAUCAAACCUUAACCCAAAGGUUAAAACCCUUAGAUCCCUUGUAAACCUCUUCUUUUCCUAACAAGCUCUUUUCUAUUCGAACAAGUGAUAUUCUUGGGCUCACCCUUCAAGUUUGCAACCAAGAAAGGACAUUAUUGUGAAGAACAGUUUAUACAACUUCAGUUAACCAUGGAAAUCAAGUGUUUUCACAACCCCAAUCAGCUUUUCACAUUAAGUCUCUCAUAACCCUAGUUAUGGGAGCUUAGCCACACAUCUCUAUAGAAGAAGAAGAAGAAGAAGAAGAAGAAGAAGAAGAAGAAGAAAAAGAAGUCAUUAUGUUUCUCAUAAAUAAAUUUAGGAAUUACUUACAAAAAUCACAUGAUUUGUUCUCGAAUCUUCAAAAGAAAAUAGGCAUAAAAUGAUUAGAUCCAUAAUUCUAGCUUGAUUCACAGAGAAUACUAUGUUACAAUUAUGUUCAAAGUUGGAAAUAUGGUCUAGAAUCCCUAAAAUAAAUCUAAACUGAGUAUUUUAUAUUUUCCCAGGUGUAGAGUAUUUAAAAUUUAAACUCAGAAAAAGCCGCGUCCAAGUUGACGGUCAGGACGAUAUCUCAUCGAAAGCUUGACGGUCCGUUGAAUCAACCAUCGCAAUCGGUCCCAAAAUGGCAUCUUCUAUUAAGGGUCAACAAUUAGGUUAGUGGACCGUCACUUGCCCGGUGGUCCAUCACAUGAGCAGUCACUAGAUCAUCUGAAAGUUCACAUUUUAUUUUAGCCUGACGACCAGUUUGGCGGCCCGUCGGGUGUUCGAUGGUCCACCACUUGGACCGUCGCAGAGAUCAUUCUUUUGGUCAUCUCUAUUUUACUCUGACUAUAACCCUGGCAGUCCGUCGCAUGGCUGACGAUCGUCAAUUGGACCGUCAGUGCCCUUUUCCUUCUAUUUUUCCAAGUUUUUCCUCCUGCUAACUCUUUGACCUAACAAUACUAAAAUCCAGUAUUAAAUAUAUUUGGUGCUUGAAAAUAUAUAAUUAUCCCAGGAAAAAGAUGUAAAAUAUUCCGUCAAAAGAUGAAACAUCAAGGUUCCAUUAUUAGAUUCACUUGGGUGAUUCUUGUGUACCCCACAAGGUUUUUAAUCAAAGCCAUAGUUACUAAGGCCUUGCCAUUUAGCCAUUAAAACCAUUUAAAAAUUUUAGGUUCCAUUACCAUAUUAUACCAUGCAAUGUUUUUAAUAAAAGUCCAACUAUGUAUUUAAAGCAUUCUCAUAGGUAUUUUAAUAUACACGUUAAGGUCAUAUAGUUUCCAAAACAAAAACCAAGUACCAAUUGACCAUUCCCAUGAAGCCACAUGUUCAAACCUUAAUUAUAAUAUGAAAACCAUAAGUAAAAACAUUGGAAAACAUAGAUCAACCAUUAAUAACCAAAACCCCCAACAUAUAAUUAAAAACCAAAUAAUACCCAUAAUUAAAUCAUGAAAACCAUUCAUUAAAACAUUAAUUUGGUUGAACUAAUAAUGAGGGAGGAGUAACAUGCCUUAGAUACCAAAGAAGAUGGAGCGAAAUCACCCUUGAAAGCCCCAAUUGAUAUGCUUGAUGAAAACCCUAAGUGUUCUUGACCUUGAGGAUGUGGGAGUAUUUGAGAGUCUAUUUGAUGUGUUUUUGAUAGUUCAUGAUGCCCUAACAAGGUUAGAAGAUGUGGGUUUUAAGUUGGGAAAAAGUGGAAAUAUAAAGAAUACCAUUAACUUAAAAGUUAAAAAAUGCGUAUGGGAGUGUAUGACUCCCCCUAACUCAUACACAAUCAUACGAGUGGUACACACCACACAUACCCUAGACAGAAUGUUGGACUUUAACACUAUCCAAUGUACGACCCCCAAGGACCAACUCAUGCCAAAUCAUACAAUAAGUACCCAUAACCCGAACCCUAAGCAGAAUACUCUAGGCUAGACACAUUGAGCAAUAUACGAGUGGAUUACCUAACUCGUACCAUCUCCAUAUGAGUCUUAUGAUUCCCUUUCAUAAAUUAGAAAAAAUGCACACUAGACCACACUAAUUAUUAUAUAAGUUAAGGACCCUAAACCAUACAACAUCAUACGACAAGUACCCAUAAGUCGUAUGAUGUCCAGAAGCUCAAACUCAAGAAAUUUUUUAGGGAUCAAAACCUAGGGUAUUUUAGAUUAUUGGAUGUUAUAUUUGAAGAAGGUGAACAUGUUGAGUACUAAUGACAAGCUAAUGCACUACAAAUGGCUGGUGGGCCAUAUUACAAAAGCUACGGAAGGAGCAAAAUGGGGAAAAAGGACAGCCAUUUACAAACAUACAUUGAGUUUCACUACUAAGGCUUGGUGGUCCAUUUUUUAUCACCACAUAGUACCCACAAACGAUGAUAAGGCACUGAGUGCUAACAAGAAAGGGAUGGACAAGUGUAAUACCCUAACUUUUCCUUAAGCCUAAUUUCAUCUCUAGAAGGUUAAGAAAUGACUUCCUAAGUGAGUAACAUUUCAACCAUAUAGAGUUUCCCUAAUUUUGACUUUUUAUCAUGUGGGAAAUUUAAUUAGCUUUCCAACGAUAUAAGAUCCGCCCAAAUCCGAUAACCGGGAAAGAAGUUAUGGCUAAUUUAAGUUCUAGUCAUAAGACACCAUCAUUUUAGUGUUUGGCACAUCGUGGAGAGGGUCUAUUUAAUAAUUGUCAAAUUCCAGUGGAACUUUGCAGUAGUGGCACAUUGCGGAGGACCCUAAUUUCCCAACUUUCAAUUUCCAGUGGCCUAGCACGAUUGUGACACGUCGCGCUGAAGUUCCAGGUCCCAACUAGUGGGACAGCGCAAUGGCUUCACAUCGUGGUGAAUCCCAGAUUCCCAUUUGUCAAUUUCCAGUAAUCCACCGUGAUAGUGGUGCGUUGCGGUGGCCCAUAAAGUCAUGUUUCUAGUUCAAUUUUUCCAGCUUCAUACAGAAGUUAAAAAGGACACUUUAGACUUUUUCAAAGCCUCUUAAACCGUACAAAUAUCAGAAUUAAGGUCACUACAAGCGUCAUAUGAGAUUUUUCUUAAGAUUUCUCUCAACCAAAAACCCUAAGCAUCCAAAUCCUUUUCCAAGAAUCUCAAGGGUUCACCAAUGAUUUUCUAAAUUAAGUCAAGAUUCAAAGUUCCCAAGUCAAAGGCCUCAAGAACCCUCAUUCAAGAGUACGAAUAGAGUCCCAAAAUCUAGAGUUCAUCCAAAGCUUCUAAUUCAAUGUAUGUGGGGUUUGAACAAGGACACUCAUUUCGUCUUUGUACCCAAAAGUUGUUUUAAUUACAAGGAUUUAUGGUUUUACAUGUUUUCUUAUGAAAUUGAAGUAUGGGUUUAUACCCUAGGUUAUUAUUUCUUGAUGUUAUGAUGGUUUAAAUGUUUUAGAAAUUGAAGUACAUGAUUAUGUUGAGAUUGCAAUGCAUAUUGUUGAAAAUUUCCAGAUUUCUAUAUGAUUUAUGAAUCUUUACGAUAUCUAGUAUGCAUUUUAAUGCGUCUUAUCUUGAGAUUGAUUAUGGGUCAUUAAGUCCUAGUUGAGAUUUUAAUUUUAUGAACUUUUGUGCUAUAAGCACCCAUGAUUUGAGUAUUUUGAGAUUAUUGAGAAAGUUUUGACCUUGAUGUUCAUAGUAGCUUUGUAAUCCACUUUACUAAAUGAAAUUAUAGAUUUUAUAGUUGGGUUCUUUAUGAACCAUGAGAUUACUUUAAAGUGUAUUUCCAUGAGAUGAGCGUAGCUAACUAAAGGGAGUAGUAUUUAGCACCGAGCUGGGUAAGUUACUACGGUUUCAUACUCCAGAACUACAUGCCACUAUAGGAUUGAGAUUUAUGGGUGCGAGGCCGAGAUAGUGAUUAUUAAGUUGAGGUUAUACUCUCUGGAAAAAGUAUGACGCCUCUCCCCAACGUGAGGUUUUUUACUUAGGAGGAUAAAACGUUGGACUCCAUCUAGCUCGCAUGGUUUAUGUUGGUUAAGAGAACCUCCAUUCUAGUAAAAGUAAAUAAUCAACUUUUGAGUAUUUUUCCCUAAUAGUAAGAUUUUCUGAGUAGUUUUCUUAAAAUAUAUUUUCCUUAAAGAGAGUAUUUUUCCCUACUAGUAAGAGUAAAUGAUCAGUUCCUAAAGUAAAGUAUGUUCCUUUGAGAUGAGUUAUUGUUCCCUAAAUGUAAAGGCUCAUAGACUUAUCCAAAUAUUAUUUUUACUUUAGAUUUCAGUUUUAAAGUUACAAUCUUAGCUUCCAGAUAUAGAUUUCCGGACCAAGUAUAUUGACUCACGAGAUUUAUACUAUGCAUUCCAUUAUUCAUAAUGUAUGAGAUUUAUAUUUUUAAGUUACUCAAGCUAUAUGAGUCAGUUAUAUCAGCAUGCAUAAUUUUUAUAAAGGUUGAUGAUAUUAUUGUUUUAAUUAUUGCAUACACCCCCAUAUACUCAUUACAUCCUCAAAGUACUGAUCCACAUAUACGUUUGUGUGCUACAUUGUCUCAUAAUGUAGGUUCAGGUGCUUAAUCCCAGCAGUGACAGUGAUCUUCAAGCAUCUCAUCUACAUCUUUAUCCUUGGUGAGUCCUCAUGGUUCAAGGACCUAUAUCUGUAGUUUUCCCGCUUUAAUAGUGUUUUGAGUAUUACUUUCAGACCAGUUCAAGUCAGUUGGGGGUCUGUCCCAAUGUCUUUCCAGUUUGAGUAGUAGAGGCUUUGUCAGACUAGACUAUUAGUUUUGUUUUAUACUUUUCAGUAGUUGAUAUUCAGAAUAUGUUUUCCAGUUAUUUCAGUUCAGAUUUAAUGUGAUACAGCACUAUUGCUUGAUUAUCCAUCUUAAAGUAAGUGUUAGAUGUAGUAGUAGACUUAAAGGAUCAAUUUAGGGCUAGUAGUAGCCUUAAGCACCAUGUGACAUCUCGGGAUGAGAUUUUGGGGCUUUAUAACAAGGUAGAAUUGGAGUUAAAAUUUUUGCAGAUCAUUACAAAAGAGGUUUGGGAGAGUCUGUUGCAUUACUACACUGCUAGCUUCUUAAGCUUGGUGUUUUUCUUUGUUCGAAGUCAAAUAUGUCAUCCAUUAUUGUAGUUGAAAGAUUCAUAUAAUCGACCAAGACCACUAACAUUUCCUUAACAAAGGAUACUUUAAAUUUGGUGGCUUGAGUUUAAGGUUAUUUGACUGAUUUGCCUUCAUAGGCAACUGAGAGAGCUGCAACUACUAAAGAAAUCUUAGUUUUCAAAGUUGGUGAUACUUCUUCAUCUACACUACAACCCACAACACCUUUGAGUACAGGUAAGUUGGCACUCGUCGUCUAUACAUUGGUACCUACAACUUUAAAUAAAUGAUGAAGACGAAUUAGGUUAUACUUGAUGUGUGGAUUAAGAAGUUAGAAGUAAGGUGAAUCCCUACGUGGAGCAUAAAAUUAAGGAAGUGAUACGAGGCAUGCAGACCCAUCUUGAUAGUUUUGAGAGACAAAUGAUAGCUAAGCUAGUCCAGGAUUCUAAUUUAAGCACAGUCACCAUUGAGUGAGGUGAAUUAAAGAAUUGAUAAAGGAGAUUUCUGAAAGGAAGCCUUUGAUUAUGCAAUCUAUGUCGCUCCUGACAUUUAUAGAUUUUAGUGUUAAUGUGGUUGUACUAUAUUUUUACACCAAGGCACUGUAGAUGAGGGAGAGGGUGGGAAGAUAGAUAAGGCAGCAAAAUAAAAUAAAGAAUGGUACACAUCCCUAUAAAUGGAGACAAAGAAAAGCCAAAAGGGGAAAGAAGAAGAAAAAAAAUUAGAAGAAGAAGAAGAGAAAAGAGAAGGAGAGUGGAAGGACCUUUGAGGUGCCUAGUUCAAAGAGGAGUAAGGUCUCUCCUGCUUAUAUUAAUACUAUAGUUUUUGAGGUUGUUAUUAAGGGUAGAGAAGGCAAAGAUAUCUCCCCCGUGAUGUCAUCAUUGAGUGCAUUAGCCGUCACCAGUGCUGACUUGACUAUAAGUGCCACAGCCACAGCCGAGGCCAUAAGAGAUGGAGAGAAAAAAGGGGUUAUAUUUAUGACCCCUACUGAUCAUAGAAAACGGGAUUCAAGUGCACCACAAGUAUGUUUCUACCCUAAUUUUACAUUGUUUUCUUAUUUUGUGCAAUGAGAACAUUGGAUGAUUUCUCAGUUGGGGGUGGGGUGUACCACAUUUGAAGGUUCUUAUUGUCAUGUUUCUUUUCCCUAGAAUGCGCUAUCUAGUUAGAAUCGACAUAUUUAGGAAUUGUAUUUUUGUUUUUAUGUUACUUUUUGUGUGUUUUGGGUAAUCUAGAGAAAAAUAGGAUAGAUUUGUGCAGUCAAAAUAAAAGAGUAUGCAAUCUCUAGUUUUAAUGUGUUUAAAAUGAUACCCCUCCAUAAAAUUUUGUAAUGUUUUUGUUUUCUUGUAUACUUAUCCUAAGCUAUGACAAUGUGAAUUUCAUUAUGGCAUUAGAAUUAUGAGCAUGAUAAUUGUAGCCUAACUUGCUUGAACCAUAUAGGCAAUGACUGAGUAUAUAGCCUUAGGCUAGGUGUGCUAUGAGGUUUACCUAGUCAUAGUAUGUGUGAUCUAGAACUUGCCUGGUUAGUAUCGCCCAAGUUAAAGGUAAGUCAAUUAGAAAAGGAUUGUAUCUCAUUCUUGAAUAAGCCUACUAUAAGCCUAAAAAGCCUACCAAAUGAAAAUAAUAUCCCUUGAUCGCAAAAUUGAGCCUAAAUAGAUCUUUUUCUUGAACUAGCCUAUCCACCUUCCAAUUUAUUUACAAUGAACCUUCUUUUGCGCUGGUCCCUUCUUGGAAAUAGUGUAACUCAAUCUAGGAAAAUCGUCUAUGUAGAGAGUAUCUAUCAUUGGAGUAUGUGAAAGAAAUCAGGUAUGUAGAAGAAGUUAGUAAAUGAAAAAAAAAGAUUCAGGUGCAGUCUUAUGUAAAGAUAAUGAAAAGAAAAAAGAAAAAAUGAGAAGAUUGAAGAAGAAAAAGUUUCAAAAGAAAUAACGAAAAUAGAAAUGAACAAGCAAAAAAAAUUAAAGCUAAGGUCCGAAAGAGUUAAAAAGGGGAUAAAAGUAAAGAAAGUAGGAAAGUGGAGCCAAAGGAAGUAUAGUGCUAAGGAGGAAUAGUCACUUGAUCCAUAUAUACUAUACUCAUUCCUAAGCCUAUAUUAAAAGCCAAUAAGUUCGAUUGUAAUCCUAGUAAGUGUGAGUGUUUAGACUUAGUCUUUAAUCCUAGUAAGUGUGAGUGUUUAGACUUAGUCUUUGUCUUGAUAUUCGUUGCAUAUUCUAAUCCUGAGGGACUUCUUUAAUGUGAGGGCAUCGGAGUGCAUCGUAGUUGUUGCUUAUUUGGUUAGUGUAGUUUGUUUGUGUGCAAGGUUAUAUGAUGAUAAUGUAAUGUUAUUGCUUGAUCCCAUUGUGUCAUGGUAAGGGUUUGUGUACAUAUAAAGAGUAUUGGUUUUAAUGAUAUUUAAAAGGUGUUGAACUUGGUUUUUGAUUCAUGCAUUCUUAAGUUGAGUUAUGAAAAAUAUGACUACCUAGUACACUUAGUUUUCUCUUGGUUAAGCAACGUUUAAUUUAGUUUUUGUGUUGUUUUGUUUGCCUAAGUUAAGGGUGUUGAUGUUCCAUGGAAAAUGAUGUGGUUUUAUGGCAUUUCUAGGUAAAACGGGUCAAGAGAAGUAAAGUUCAAAUUGUUGGACUUAAGGACAUUAUAAAAGCCAUCCUAUGACCAUCAGAUCUGACCAUGGUCGUACCAUGGCUGUCGUGGGUUGAACCAGAGAGAUAGUAUUCAGGUGUUAUUGAGAUGAAAGUAUCACACUUUCAUAUUUAGAUUCUAAUAUCGUAAGAGUGAUCGCGGAAAAAAGUUUCAAAAAAUAUGUUUUCAGAUGUUAAGUAUGAGAAGGAUAAAAUGAGAGGAUUCUAAGAUCGUACCAUGAUACUAUGAGUCUGUAUUGAAUAUUGUGGAAGCAGCAUUCUACCAAUGGGAAAUCAAAGGUAGAUGCAAUGAGAGAGUGUCACAAUCGUACCAAGAAAACACAAACUCAUACUGAGUAUUGUGACAUCCAAUAUCUAAAAGAGGAAAAAGUCAAGUGCCAUCUUACGAGCACCAAAGAUGACCGUGGUAUCUAAUCAUGUACCUUUCUUUGUUCAAUGUGUCAUCUCAGAAAAUCCAAUUAUGUUUAAGAUAAGUUUUACGUUUGUCUAUAAAUACUCCUAUUAGGUCUUUUAUUUUAGUUUACAUUAUAUUGAUACUUUGAAAUAUAUUAUUGUUCUUUGAAGUACAAACAUCGAUUUUUAGGGUUUAAUUUAUGGUUUUCAUAUUAUUCUUAUAAGUUUAUAAUUAUGUUUUCUUCUUAGAAUUAUUGUUGUGUGCUUGUAAUUUGAGUAGUUAAACACCACAACUAGGGUCGUGGGAACCAUGGUGGAUUAACAAAGUAGUACUCGUAGUACAAAGUAAUUCUCAAAGGGUUUUUGGGAGUGUAUUGUUGUUCUCUUUGGUUUGAUUCCAUUUAAAAGCUACAGACGUUAGAACUCAUCUUAUCUUUACUCUGGACAAAAGGAUUAGUAAUGGAUAGAAAAAGGAAUUAACAAUGAGACUUGGUGCUGCAACCUCCAUUUAAUUAGACUUGAGUUAGUAAAUAGGAUAGACAAAUAUGGGGUCAAUGAUAGGGGUUAGUAAUGCAAAACCUAUAGGACAUUAAUUUGUGAUUGGGGAUAGUUAUCUUAAAGGGGCAUAAAGUCGUUUAGAUGAACAUAACCUAUCAAUUCUAUAUGUCGAGCACCACGAAAGAUCACUAAGUAUGAAGAACCUAGGGAGUUCUAAGUUAUUAGGGAACACAAUCCUAGUGCCUCUCUUAUAUUGAUUACAAAUCCAACAAAAUCAUCAUUUGCUGUAACGACCCAAUUUUAUGGAACCAAAAUGUCACACAGUUCUCAUGAUCCCAAAGGACCACAAGCUAACCCUCUACUGAUAUUUGUACCUGAGCACUGCAUAAUAUAGAUAAUAAAUGCGGAAACUGGCCAUAAGGUUUAAAACAUCUAAAAUACUCAAAAUUAAAAACUGAAUACUGAUACAUCUGUUCGAAAAGCCUCUAAACUGCCUAAACUGUGGAGUUGAUGGGACAAACGCCCAACUAACUUCGUCUACUGAAAAUAAACUAAGUCUGAUGCGAUAAUAAAAGAAAUAAGGAUUAUCCUCGAAUGAAAAGGACUCACUACUAUAUCUAGUGCUGCUGACAGGGACUGAGAUGCUCGGGGUACUUUGGAUCUCGUGCGUCUAAACCUAUGGUGUCAAAUAAAACACCAUAGCACAAAUGCGUCAGUAGUAAAUAUAUCGAGUAUGAAGAUGAAGUAAGGCUAAAUGCAAGGGCUUAUGCAUGAACAAUUACUUAACUGAAUAACCAUGAGAGUACUGAAUGAGAACACAUACAUGAAUACACAAAUCAUAACUAGUGACAUCGCAACUCAAAAUACGAAAACUCGAAUACUGCUUUUCUAAUAUCUGAACUCACUACUAAUACUGAGAUACUAAACAACUAAAUCUUCUAUCAAAGAACACUGAGUACUGAAAUUGAGAUCAGUCCCAUCUAGUGAGUGAUCUCGAAAACUUAUGAUACUAAAGUUGAUUAACUAAAUCUACUUAUAUCAAUGACUGAAAGUUGAGUUUACUACUCUCGACUGACUGAAUCUGAGAUAAAACCUUUCUAACGGAUGAUCCCUGAAUCUACUAUCAAUGAUAAGAAAAAUAUUAUGUCUGAGAUCAAACCUAUCUAGCGAAAGAUCUCUAAAUCUGAUAAUGAGCUUACUCAACUGAAUCUGAGACUGAGAUCAAGCCUACCUAACGGGUGAUCUUUGGAUCUGAUAAUGAGAUUACUCAACUGAAUUUGAGACUAAUAUCAAGCCUAUCUAAUGAGUGAUCUCUGGAUCUAAUAAUGAGACUACUCAACUGAAUCUAAGACUGAGAUCAAGCCUAUCUAACGGGUGAUCUUUGGAUCUGAUAAUAAGAUUACUCAACUAAAUCUGAGACUGAGAUCAAGCCUAUCUAACUGGUGAUCUCUGGAUCUGAUAAUGAGAUUACUCAACUAAAUCUGAGACUGAGAUCAAGCCUAUCUAAUGGGUGGUCUCGAGAUCUGAUAAUACUGAUACUGAAUAACUUUAUAUGAGAUCAUGCCUAUCUAGUGGGUGGUCCUUGAAUCAAUGGAACUAUUUGAGUUCCUUACUGAUAAAAGGUGACUGUAUCUGACAGUCCUAAUUUCUGAGUUUUAAUCUAAAGACUGAUAAUAAAACUACAACUGUGAGGGUGCUCACCUAACCAACAUACCCCAAAUCUGAAUUGGUAGGGUCUAACCUGUAACCCCAGCUGGAAGGGUGUCAAUACCGUGCCACAGGUAAAGACCUCUCUAUUCAAGCCUCUCUAACGGGUGACCCUCAUAAGAAGUCAAGCCUAAGGUAGUAUAAUAGUCAAGCCUUUUUCUAACGGGUGACUCCUGCAUCUUAAGCUAGCUAUGUAGUUCUGGAGUUCAGGGAUUGCUCCUAACAACUCUGUCUCUCUAACGGGGAGCCUUCAUCCCUACACUCUCUCAGUGCUAGCUCCUACUCCCAACUGAAAGGCUCUGAAUUGAUUCUCAACUAAACUUAAACUGAGCCGAAUCUGAUACUGAUCAUGUUUCUUGAGUAAUCUGACUAAGUUAUGCUGAAUUCACUUGGUUUUGUAUCUGACAAAAUAUUACUGAAUCUCGUUUUCUGAUUAAAUAAUACUGAUCUCGGGAUAUAUUACUCGAUUACCACUAAGGACUGAACUGAACACUUGAUUACU
RNAcentral lists this long non-coding RNA (37519 nucleotides) under Capsicum annuum. Its description in RNAcentral is "long non-coding RNA (CANN_LNC005224)". The record is from RNAcentral. Lineage: Eukaryota; Viridiplantae; Streptophyta; Magnoliopsida; Solanales; Solanaceae.